This 454-nucleotide long non-coding RNA is filed under the name Cricetulus griseus (Chinese hamster). Its description in RNAcentral is "lncRNA (ENSCGRG00015038868.1)". Lineage: Eukaryota; Metazoa; Chordata; Mammalia; Rodentia; Cricetidae. The record is from RNAcentral.
UUUCUGUCUUCAGCCCCAGCAUGCUGAGUCACCUCUAUGGCAGGAGCAUGGAAAGAAUUCAGCACAUGGGGGACAGUUUCUGAUGACAGUCACUUCUCUACCACAGAUGAUAUCUGUGCUGGUGCUGUUUUGCAUAGAUAAAUACUAUGACUGUAAUGUGGGAACCGAAUGGCAGGUCAUUAUGCACCAGCACCCUCAGAGAUAGAAAUGACUGUGGGAGCUCAGAAAGCUGAGGCAGGAGGAUUGCUUGAGUCCAGGAUUUUUGGCAUCAGCCUGGGACGCACAAGAAGACCUUAAAACAAAACGGAAGUAAUGUGACGUUAUUCCACAGAACUUUGACUAUGCUAACGGUAGAAUGAAGCCACAAGUGUAGUAUUUUGUUAUUAUCCCAAUGCAGCCUCAUUUUAUAGGAGACUAGAUGUUAUAAAUGAGGUCAUAAAUAAAAGAAAAUGGC